This 75-nucleotide transfer RNA is filed under the name Parvibaculaceae bacterium. RNAcentral's name for it is "tRNA-Val". It matches the Rfam family "tRNA". From Rfam's summary of the family: Transfer RNA (tRNA) molecules are approximately 80 nucleotides in length. Lineage: Bacteria; Pseudomonadati; Pseudomonadota; Alphaproteobacteria; Hyphomicrobiales; Parvibaculaceae. The record is from RNAcentral.
GGGCGGUUAGCUCAGCGGUAGAGCACCACGUUGACAUCGUGGGGGUCACAUGUUCGAUCCAUGUACCGCCCACCA